RNAcentral lists this transfer RNA (84 nucleotides) under Streptomyces mesophilus. RNAcentral describes it as "tRNA-Leu". It matches the Rfam family "tRNA". Rfam says of the family: Transfer RNA (tRNA) molecules are approximately 80 nucleotides in length. Their secondary structure includes four short double-helical elements and three loops (D, anti-codon, and T loops). Lineage: Bacteria; Bacillati; Actinomycetota; Actinomycetes; Kitasatosporales; Streptomycetaceae. The record is from RNAcentral.
GCGGUCGUGGUGGAAUUGGCAGUCACGUCAGGUUUAGGUCCUGGUGGGAGAAAUCCCGUGAGGGUUCGAGUCCCUCCGACCGCA